Molecule: ribosomal RNA, 273 nt
Filed under: Balneola sp.
Lineage: Bacteria; Pseudomonadati; Balneolota; Balneolia; Balneolales; Balneolaceae
Description: partial 16S ribosomal RNA
Rfam family: Bacterial small subunit ribosomal RNA
Source: RNAcentral
ACAAUGGAGAGUUUGAUCCUGGCUCAGGACGAACGCUGGCGGCGGGCUUAACACAUGCAAGUCGAAGGAGAAGGAAGGAGCUUGCUCUUUCUGGAGACUGGCGGACGGGUGAGUAACGCGUAGCCAACCUGCCUUUAGCUGGGGGAUAACAUUCCGAAAGGGGUGCUAAUACCGCAUAAUGCAGCGGGGCCGCAUGGCCACAGUUGUUAAAGGUUUCGACCGGCUAAAGAGGGGGCUGCGUGCUAUUAGUUAGUUGGUGAGGUAACGGCUCAC